UUUGAAGGGAAAUUGAUAAGUUAUGUUGGAGUUUCUUAUGAAUAGGAAAUACUCCGUAAGAAACAAAAAAUCAAAAGCCGAAACGUUGUUCAAAUGCCGCACGCAGAAUCAAGAGCUGGCAGCUACCAGUUAGUUUAUUUAGUUUAUUCUUUCUUUUCUGUUUUAAGCUGGAUUGCUAGAUUUUUCUUUUUCAACUGCACGUACUAUUCCAUUUCAAAUGAAGCAAAAAAGUUCUAGGAAUCGAAAGGGGUCGUGAGGAGCUUCGUAAGAAGUUCCACGUGAAGAUGAAAAAAGUUGCUGGUUUGACUUCUCAUGGAUAUAACAAAGUUGGACGCAGGCUUUCACGCGUUGAGGAUUUGAUGGUGAUCUUUUAUACGGUCGCCGAUGAAGAUAAAUUACUAUGGGUCUUUAAUGUUCUUGAUGGUGAAGAGUGAGUAAUGCUCACUGAUAUGCUUCCUAAGGACCGUUUUGAAGUAGUAUUUUUAUAAUUUCAUGGCUCAUGGCGUGCAAUGUCUGUAAUGACUAAUUUAUAACUUUGAUUGUUUGUAUUUUAAGUUAACGACUUACGCUUUCAAAAUUGCCAUGAAGUUGGUUUUUCAGUUUUAA
Erigeron canadensis is the source of this 606-nucleotide long non-coding RNA. RefSeq lists it as uncharacterized. The transcript is spliced from 2 exons. The record is from RefSeq and is a predicted model, not a curated record. NCBI's taxonomy places the organism in Eukaryota, Viridiplantae, Streptophyta, Magnoliopsida, Asterales, Asteraceae.